Long non-coding RNA from Dalotia coriaria, 363 nucleotides. RefSeq lists it as uncharacterized. The transcript has 2 exons. NCBI's taxonomy places the organism in Eukaryota, Metazoa, Arthropoda, Insecta, Coleoptera, Staphylinidae. The record is from RefSeq and is a predicted model, not a curated record.
ACAUUUCACAUUUACUCAGUCAGUUGAAGCGUUUGGUAACACAAAGGGGCGGGUAAAAAUGAGCGGACGUACUUUAUUUAUGCCGAUUCCACCAAUUUACUUCGAAGAUAUGAAGUAUUGGUUUGUACAACUCGAAGCAAUAUUUAAUUUAUCCAAUAUUGACGAUGAACUCACACAAUAUUAUAUUCUGGUCGCAUCAUUAAGAGAGAUAACUUCUACAAUACUUCGUGAAAUUAUCCUCAAUGGACCAAGCGCCCCACAUCCUUAUUUGACUUUGAAACGAUUUGUUUUGGAUUUAUUAGAGGUACCAUUCACCUAUAAGUAGUUUGUUUAUGUAAAAAAUAAAAUUAUUAACUAAUUGCA